ACCACCCUUUAAUGUUUGAUGUUCUAACGUUGACCCGUAAUCCGGGUUGCGGACAGUGUCUGGUGGGUAGUUUGACUGGGGCGGUCUCCUCCUAAAGAGUAACGGAGGAGCACGAAGGUUGGCUAAUCCUGGUCGGACAUCAGGAGGUUAGUGCAAUGGCAUAAGCCAGCUUGACUGCGAGCGUGACGGCGCGAGCAGGUGCGAAAGCAGGUCAUAGUGAUCCGGUGGUUCUGAAUGGAAGGGCCAUCGCUCAACGGAUAAAAGGUACUCCGGGGAUAACAGGCUGAUACCGCCCAAGAGUUCAUAUCGACGGCGGUGUUUGGCACCUCGAUGUCGGCUCAUCACAUCCUGGGGCUGAAGUAGGUCCCAAGGGUAUGGCUGUUCGCCAUUUAAAGUGGUACGCGAGCUGGGUUUAGAACGUCGUGAGACAGUUCGGUCCCUAUCUGCCGUGGGCGCUGGAGAAUUGAGGGGGGCUGCUCCUAGUACGAGAGGACCGGAGUGGACGCAUCACUGGUGUUCGGGUUGUCAUGCCAAUGGCACUGCCCGGUAGCUAAAUGCGGAAGAGAUAAGUGCUGAAAGCAUCUAAGCACGAAACUUGCCCCGAGAUGAGUUCUCCCUGACUCCUUGAGAGUCCUGAAGGAACGUUGAAGACGACGACGUUGAUAGGCCGGGUGUGUAAGCGCAGCGAUGCGUUGAGCUAACCGGUACUAAUGAACCGUGAGGCUUAACCUUACAACGCCGAAG
This 744-nucleotide ribosomal RNA is filed under the name Escherichia coli. RNAcentral's name for it is "partial 23S ribosomal RNA". It matches the Rfam family "Bacterial large subunit ribosomal RNA", at positions 2199 to 2925 of the family's 2925-position model. The record is from RNAcentral. Lineage: Bacteria; Pseudomonadati; Pseudomonadota; Gammaproteobacteria; Enterobacterales; Enterobacteriaceae.